UUACCCUAGGGGCAAGGGAAGCAAAUAGGUGCCCUCUCCUAUGCUACCAGGGACCAGAUGAUAGUUCUCAUUCUCGUUCCCAUGAGAAAGAGAAACUACAGGCUGCCUGGGAUGG
This is a non-coding RNA of Chelonoidis abingdonii (Abingdon island giant tortoise), 115 nucleotides long. The record is from RefSeq and is a predicted model, not a curated record. Lineage: Eukaryota; Metazoa; Chordata; Testudines; Testudinidae.